This is a long non-coding RNA of Tupaia belangeri chinensis (Chinese tree shrew), 2137 nucleotides long. RefSeq lists it as uncharacterized. The transcript has 3 exons. The record is from RefSeq and is a predicted model, not a curated record. NCBI's taxonomy places the organism in Eukaryota, Metazoa, Chordata, Mammalia, Scandentia, Tupaiidae.
GGCGCCUGCCAUAAUCCAUUAGGCGCUGCCCGGCAGCGCGCACUCUCGGCGGUAGGGACCAGCUCAUGUUGGAGAAAGAGCCUCUUCGGAACUGCGAGGCUGCAGCCACCGGGAGCAGGCGGGCUGUUCCCGGCCAACUCGCACUGGCGGGGACUGGCGCCCGAGGCUCUUUCCCGGCACCAGACCCCGGCUCCCCACCCGCUCUGGAGGCAGCAGCGGCUCAGUCCGAGAGUGCGGUGGUAAGGCUAGGCCUGGCACCGGGCUGGAGCCUUGGCCGCGGCGGACCCUGCAAUCCCGCAACCGGCGACUGGAGCCCACCUCUGCAGAGACAAAGGAGCUGCUCAGGUGUACUGUCCCUGAAAGGAAAUGUCCCUGACUGGCCUCCAGAAUUCCCCUCAUAUGCAUGGUCAUCCAGAUUUGCCUGAAAGAGAUACCAACGGAUUCAGCAAACAUCAGGGAAGCAGAGAAUACAACCCUGGAUAUGAAAGAGCAGAAUCUUCUGCAUUGAAGAAUUAAGCAGUAUUUUUAGUUGCACAAGCAAAUGCAGCAAAUUGUUGGGCCUUCUAAAGCCCAGAACACGUUACUCUGUGGAACUGAUCAAAGAGAUUGUCUGAUUCUAGAAUUUUCUGAGAAAUAAUCUCAAUAGUCAGUUUACCUCAUCCUCCCCUCCCCCUUUACCCAAAUAGAAGCAGAGCUUUAUAAUCUUGUUUUUCAGCUUUGGGAAUAAGGACUGAUAAGAAACUCUUUGCACAGGGAAGGUAGCCAUGUUUGCACUCCACUCCCCUUCCCAUGCAGAUGUUGUGACGUUCUGCGCUUUGUGGAACCUCACAAAAUGGCAUCCCUAAACUGACUUUUCUCUAGAAACCAUUGAGACCCAUCCUCUUUUGUGUUUCUGGUCUUUACAAAUAGAGAGCCUAAAUCAUUCUAAAGCCUUGGUUCCUUUAUUUAGUGUUAGCGUUGGAGGGUCCUAUUUUUCUCAAAACAAGUUUACAGGCUGAUAGCCUGCUGCAGUCCAGGCAGGACAGGAAAAAAUGCUGCCUGGGUUUGCAAAGGGUUCUCUAGAUUUAUGCAAAUUUCUGCAGCAAAAAUGUUUGCUGAUUGCCACAAACCUUCGAUGUUUACAGAUUUGAGCCAAUUAGAAGGGUUUCUUUCUUGUGCACUCUCGCCACUAACAGUCUGUGCAUAAAACACCAUGAUGGGCGUUGCGGUGGUGUUUAACCCCUGUAAGAAAGAUGGUGACUAUAUGUGUGCUGUACAAUUCUUCAAGGUCAUUACUUGGAGAUGAAGCUAUGCUCUUUUCCAGCUACAGAAGGAAACAUAUAUACCUAUACUUAUAAUCAGCACUUCCUGCAUGUGUGAACUUUAUGUAAAUGUACAAAUGCAUGUUUUGAAAUACAGCAGUUAUUCCAACAGAAUAAUUUUCUGUGCAUGAGCUAAAAUUUUACUACGGGCUAAGAGGCAGGUGGGACCAGAAGGUACAAUACUUUCAGAGUGGCACAGAAUGCCAAGGAAAUCAUGUUUUUGUCCCCACUUCAUUCCACACCUACCCAUGUGCUAGGUCUUGUCAAAAUCAGUGGCUCUGCAAUUGGUAUUUGGGAGUAUCACAGGAGACAGUGAGUUUUGCUAUUAUACAGGAGUCCCUUACAUUGAGGGGACUUGGAAUUUAGCCAAUUUAUGCUUGAGGCUGUUUCUCAGUCAUUCUCCUAGGGCUUGAUAUCAUUACUCCGCAAGAGGACAGCAGUCUUGGGCAGUGCACAGUGCAAACUGUUCCAAAUGCAGCAUGCCCCUUUGCAGCUGUCUCCUCCUGUGCAAAUGUUUAAGCCCCAGGCCACCCGUGACUUAAAACUGUCUUGGCUGGCUCAGGUCGGUGAAUGUCACAGCCACAGCCUAUUCCCAGUGUGGAAAGCCAAGUGGUGCUUUGCCUGUGACCUGUCCAGUACCAACAUUCUCUGUGAAGCAGCAGGCAAAAAGCUUGCCACCACCUCAGGGGCUAACCAUGGCCGGAAGCUACAGGAUUCCAUUUUCUUAAAUGUGCAAAAACACUCUGGAAAUUAAAAUGUGUCUCCUUAAAAAUAAACAUGACUAAAAAAAGCAGAGAGCUCUUCAAUAUCUACCUAAUAAAGGUGCUUUUCAUUUU